UACGUAGGGGGCAAGCGUUGUCCGGAUUCAUUGGGCGUAAAGAGCGUGUAGGCGGCUUGGUAGGUCCGCUGUGAAAACUCGAGGCUCAACCUCGAGCUGUCGGUGGAAACUGUCUGGCUAGAGUCCGGAAGAGGAGAGUGGAAUUCCGAGUGUAGAGGUGAAAUUCGUAGAUAUCGGGAGGAACACCAGUGGCGAAGGCGGGUCUCUGGACAGUUCCUGACGCUGAGGCACGAAGGCCAGGGGAGCAAACAGG
This 253-nucleotide ribosomal RNA is filed under the name uncultured bacterium. RNAcentral describes it as "partial 16S ribosomal RNA". It matches the Rfam family "Bacterial small subunit ribosomal RNA", at positions 524 to 776 of the family's 1533-position model. The record is from RNAcentral.